Molecule: ribosomal RNA, 322 nt
Filed under: uncultured eukaryote
Lineage: Eukaryota
Description: partial 18S ribosomal RNA
Rfam family: Eukaryotic small subunit ribosomal RNA
Source: RNAcentral
CCCUUAGAUGUUCUGGGCCGCACGCGUGCUACACUGAGUGGAUCAGCGGGUCAGGUUGCGCGAAUGCGUUUCCUAAUCUUUAAAUCCGCUCGUGAUGGGGAUUGACGGUUGCAAUUUUCUGUCAUGAACGAGGAAUACCUUGUAAGCGCGGGUCAUCAUCCCGCGCUGAAUACGUCCCUGCCCUUUGUACACACCGCCCGUCGCUCCUACCGAUUGAGUGGUCCGGUGAGGCUUUGGGAUCUGAGCGGAAAGAGCGUUUCGCUGUUUCUGCUCGGAAAACUCAGUCGAACCUUAUCAUUUAGAGGAAGGAGAAGUCGUAACA